UUUAGUCAGGCAACGAGCGAGACCCCUAUCCGUAAUUGCUAACUGUCCAGAGAUGGGUAGAGGCUAGUUACAGAGACUGCCGCUGCUAAAGCGGAGGAAGGAAGGGGCCACGGCAGGUCAGUAUGCCCCGAAACUCCUGGGCCACACGCGGGCUGCAAUGGUAGGGACAAUAGGUUCCGACCUCGAAAGAGGAAGGCAAUCCCCAAACCCUACCCCAGUUGUGAUCGAGGAUUGAAACCCGUCCUCGUGAAUAUGGAAUCCCUAGUAACCGCGUGUCAUCACCGCGCGGUGAAUACGUCCCUGCUCCUUGCACA
This 314-nucleotide ribosomal RNA is filed under the name uncultured methanogenic archaeon. RNAcentral's name for it is "bacterial SSU rRNA". It matches the Rfam family "Archaeal small subunit ribosomal RNA", at positions 1029 to 1343 of the family's 1478-position model. Lineage: Archaea; Methanobacteriati; Methanobacteriota. The record is from RNAcentral.